AGGACGAACGCUGGCGGCGUGCUUAACACAUGCAAGUCGAGCGGAAAGGCCCUUCGGGGUACUCGAGCGGCGAACGGGUGAGUAACACGUGAGCAACCUGCCCUUAGCUUCGGGAUAGCUCCGGGAAACCGGAAUUAAUACCGAAUAUGACUUUGGCUGACAUCAGCAGAAGUGGUAAAGUUUUUCGGCUAGGGAUGGACUCGCGGCCUAUCAGCUAGUUGGUGAGGUAACGGCCCACAAGGCGACGACGGGUA
RNAcentral lists this ribosomal RNA (254 nucleotides) under uncultured bacterium. RNAcentral describes it as "partial small subunit ribosomal RNA". It matches the Rfam family "Bacterial small subunit ribosomal RNA", at positions 26 to 285 of the family's 1533-position model. The record is from RNAcentral.